AACGUAGGACGCGAGCGUUAUCCGGAGUUACUGGGCGUAAAGCGCGGGCAGGCGGCCCAACAAGUCUGAUGUGAAAACGCCCGGCUCAACCGGGCGAGGCCAUUGGAAACUGUGGGGCUGGAGGGCAGUAGAGGUAGGCGGAAUUCCGGGUGGAGUGGUGAAAUGCGUAGAGAUCCGGAGGAACACCAGAGGCGAAGGCGGCCUACUGGGCUGCACCUGACGCUGAGCCGCGAAAGCCAGGGGAGCGAACGGG
This 253-nucleotide ribosomal RNA is filed under the name uncultured bacterium. RNAcentral's name for it is "partial 16S ribosomal RNA". It matches the Rfam family "Bacterial small subunit ribosomal RNA", at positions 524 to 776 of the family's 1533-position model. The record is from RNAcentral.